RNAcentral lists this ribosomal RNA (1381 nucleotides) under uncultured bacterium. Its description in RNAcentral is "bacterial SSU rRNA". It matches the Rfam family "Bacterial small subunit ribosomal RNA", at positions 27 to 1399 of the family's 1533-position model. The record is from RNAcentral.
GAUUGAACGCUGGCGGUAUGCUUAACACAUGCAAGUCGAACGGAAACGAUACUAGCUUGCUAGUAGGCGUCGAGUGGCGGACGGGUGAGUAACGCGUAGGAAUCUGCCUGAUAGUGGGGGAUAGCCCGAAGAAAUUCGGAUUAAUACCGCAUAAUCUAUUCGUAGUAAAGUGGGGGACUUUCGAGCCUCACGCUAUCAGAUGAGCCUGCGUAAGAUUAGCUUGUUGGUAGGGUAAAAGCCUACCAAGGCGACGAUCUUUAGCUGGUCUGAGAGGAUGAUCAGCCACAUCGGGACUGAGACACGGCCCGAACUCCUACGGGAGGCAGCAGUGGGGAAUAUUGGACAAUGGGGGCAACCCUGAUCCAGCAAUACCGCGUGUGUGAAGAAGGCCUGAGGGUUGUAAAGCACUUUCAAUUGUGAAGAAAAGUUAGCGGUUAAUAACCGUUAGCCUUGACGUUAACUUUAGAAGAAGCACCGGCUAACUCCGUGCCAGCAGCCGCGGUAAUACGGAGGGCGCAAGCGUUAAUCGGAAUUACUGGGCGUAAAGCGUGCGUAGGCGGUUUAUUAAGUCAGAUGUGAAAGCCCCGGGCUUAACCUGGGAACUGCAUUUGAAACUGGUCAACUAGAGUAUGGUAGAGGAAAGUGGAAUUUCUGGUGUAGCGGUGAAAUGCGUAGAUAUCAGAAGGAACAUCAAUGGCGAAGGCAGCUUUCUGGACCAAUACUGACGCUGAGGUACGAAAGCGUGGGUAGCAAACAGGAUUAGAUACCCUGGUAGUCCACGCCGUAAACGAUGAUAACUAGCCGUUGGGGGGAUUUACCCUUUAGUGGCGAAGCUAACGCGUUAAGUUAUCCGCCUGGGGAGUACGGCCGCAAGGUUAAAACUCAAAGGAAUUGACGGGGACCCGCACAAGCGGUGGAGCAUGUGGUUUAAUUCGAUGCAACGCGAAGAACCUUACCUGGUCUUGACAUCCUGCGAACUUUCUAGAAAUAGAUUGGUGCCUUCGGGAACGCAGUGACAGGUGCUGCAUGGCUGUCGUCAGCUCGUGUCGUGAGAUGUUGGGUUAAGUCCCGUAACGAGCGCAACCCCUAUCCUUAUUUGCCAGCACAUCAUGGUGGGAACUAUAAGGAGACUGCCGGUGAUAAACCGGAGGAAGGCGGGGACGACGUCAAGUCAUCAUGGCCCUUACGACCAGGGCUACACACGUGCUACAAUGGGAAGGACAAAGAGCCGCGAAGCCGCGAGGUGUAGCUAAUCUCAUAAACCUUUUCGUAGUCCGGAUUGGAGUCUGCAACUCGACUCCAUGAAGUCGGAAUCGCUAGUAAUCGUAGAUCAGAAUGCUACGGUGAAUACGUUCCCGGGUCUUGUACUCACCGCCCGUCA